GCUCCUACGGGAGGCAGCAGUGGGGAAUAUUGCGCAAUGGGCGAAAGCCUGACGCAGCAACGCCGUGUGAGGGAUGAAGGCUUUCGGGUCGUAAACCUCUGUCAGAAGGGAAGAACGGGCAUUGGUCUAAUAGGCCUUUGUUUUGACGGUACCUUCAGAGGAAGCACCGGCUAACUCCGUGCCAGCAGCCGCGGGAAUACGGAGGGUGCAAGCGUUAUUCGGAAUUACUGGGCGUAAAGCGCACGUAGGCCGCUUUGUAAGUCAGGGGUGAAAUCCCACGGCUCAACCGUGGAACUGCCCUUGAAACUGCGAAGCUUGAAUCCUGGAGAGGGUGGCGGAAUUCCUGGUGUAGGAGUGAAAUCCGUAGAUAUCAGGAGGAACACCGGUGGCGAAGGCGGCCACCUGGACAGGUAUUGACGCUGAGGUGCGAAAGUGUGGGGAGCAAACAGGAUUAGAUACCCUGGUAGUC
Molecule: ribosomal RNA, 469 nt
Filed under: uncultured bacterium
Lineage: Bacteria
Description: bacterial SSU rRNA
Rfam family: Bacterial small subunit ribosomal RNA
Source: RNAcentral